RNAcentral lists this ribosomal RNA (253 nucleotides) under uncultured bacterium. RNAcentral describes it as "partial 16S ribosomal RNA". It matches the Rfam family "Bacterial small subunit ribosomal RNA", at positions 524 to 776 of the family's 1533-position model. The record is from RNAcentral.
GACAGAGGGUGCAAACGUUGUUCGGAAUUACUGGGCGUAAAGCGAGUGUAGGCGGCCGCACAGGUCCGUUGUGAAAACUGGAGGCUUAACCUUCAGACGUCGAUGGAAACCGUGCGGCUAGAGUCCGGAAGAGGAGAAUGGAAUUCCUGGUGUAGCGGUGAAAUGCGCAGAUAUCAGGAAGAACACCCGUGGCUAAGGCGGUUCUCUAGUACGGUACUGACGCUGAGACGCGAAAGCGUGGGGAGCGAACAGG